Molecule: ribosomal RNA, 253 nt
Filed under: uncultured bacterium
Lineage: Bacteria
Description: partial 16S ribosomal RNA
Rfam family: Bacterial small subunit ribosomal RNA
Source: RNAcentral
UACGGGGGGGGCAAGCGUUGUUCGGAAUUACUGGGCGUAAAGGGCUCGUAGGCGGCCAACUAAGUCAGACGUGAAAUCCCUCGGCUUAACCGGGGAACUGCGUCUGAUACUGGAUGGCUUGAGAUUGGGAGAGGGAUGCGGAAUUCCAGGUGUAGCGGUGAAAUGCGUAGAUAUCAGGAGGAAUACCGGUGGUGUAGACGGCUCUCUGGACCGCCACUGACGCUGAGACACGAAAGCGUGGGUAGCAAACAGG